GAUGAACGCUGGCGGCGUGCCUAACACAUGUAAGUCGAACGUGAAGAUGCAGCAAUGUGUCUGAAAGUGGCGGACGGGUGAGUAACACGUAGGUAACCUGCCUCGAAGUGGGGGAUAACCAUUGGAAACGAUGGCUAAUACCGCAUGGUCUUGUUAAAAUGGGAAUUUUGACAAGUAAAGCCUUGGCGCUUCGAGAGGGGUCUGCGUCCGAUUAGCUAGUUGGUAGGGUAAAGGCCUACCAAGGCGAUGAUCGGUAGCUGGUCUGAAAGGACGAUCAGCCACACGGGAACUGAGAAACGGUCCCGACUCCUACGGGGGGCAGCAGUGAGGAAUAUUGCACAAUGGGCGCAAGCCUGAUGCAGCAACGCCGCGUGGAGGAUGAAGGUUUUCGGAUUGUAAACUCCUUUUACGGGGGAAAAGAACGGAUGGUACCCCGUGAAUAAGUCACGGCUAACUACGUGCCACCAGCCGCGGUAAUACGUAGGUGACGAGCGUUAUCCGGAUUUAUUGGGCGUAAAGGCGUACGCAGGCGGUUGAUUAAGUCUGAACGUGAAUCCUCCCGGCUUAACUGGGAGGCAGUCGUUGGAAACUAAUUGACUUGAGGGCAAUGAGAGGUAGGCAGAAUUCCCGGUGUAGUGGUGGAAUGCGUAGAUAUCGGGGGGGAAUACCAGUGGCGAAAGCGGCCUACCAGCAUUGUACUGACGCUCAUGUACGAAAGCGUGGGGAGCAAACGGGAUUAGAUACCCCGGUAGUCCACGCCGUAAACGAUGAACACUAGGUGUGGGGGGCCUUAAAAACCUUCUGUACCGAAGCCAACGCGAUAAGUGUUCCGCCUGGGAAGUACGGCCGCAAGGCUAAAACUCAAAGGAAUUGACGGGGGCCUGCACAAGCGGUGGAGCAUGUGGUUUAAUUCGAAGCAACGCGCAGAACCUUACCAGCGUUUGACAUGGUAGGACGGUUUCCAGAGAUGGAUUCCUUCCCUUACGGGACCUACACACAGGUGCUGCAUGGCUGUCGUCAGCUCGUGUCGUGAGAUGUUGGGUUAAGUCCCGCAACGAGCGCAACCCUCGUCUUUAGUUGCUACCAUUUAGUUGAGCACUCUAAAGAAACUGCCGGUGAUAAGCCGGAGGAAGGUGGGGAUGACGUCAAGUCCUCAUGGCCCUUACAUGCUGGGCUACACACGUGCUACAAUGGCGGUGACAACGGGCAGCAAACCGGCGACGGUGAGCAAAUCCCGAAAAGCCGUCUCAGUUCGGAUUGUUCUCUGCAACUCGAGAGCAUGAAGGCGGAAUCGCUAGUAAUCGCGGAUCAGCAUGCCGCGGUGAAUACGUUCCCAGGCCUUGUACACACCGCCCGUCACACCAUGGGAGUUGGAUUCACCCGAAGGCGUUGCGCUAACCUCGCAAGAGGAGGCAGGCGACCACGGUGGGUUUAGCGACUGGGGUG
Molecule: ribosomal RNA, 1446 nt
Filed under: uncultured bacterium
Lineage: Bacteria
Description: bacterial SSU rRNA
Rfam family: Bacterial small subunit ribosomal RNA
Source: RNAcentral